Betta splendens (Siamese fighting fish) is the source of this 85-nucleotide small nucleolar RNA. Ensembl annotates it as small nucleolar SNORD12/SNORD106. Lineage: Eukaryota; Metazoa; Chordata; Actinopteri; Anabantiformes; Osphronemidae. The record is from Ensembl.
GUGGUUGAUGAUGCAAAUUUCUUUCCCCGUCUUAUCGACUGUGGUGAGAAAAAAAGAAAACUAAGCCAAUUUUGUCUGAAACCAC